Molecule: ribosomal RNA, 253 nt
Filed under: uncultured bacterium
Lineage: Bacteria
Description: partial 16S ribosomal RNA
Rfam family: Bacterial small subunit ribosomal RNA
Source: RNAcentral
GACGUAGGGCGCGAGCGUUGUCCGGAUUUAUUGGGCGUAAAGAGCUCGUAGGCGGCUUGUCGCGUCGUCCGUGAAAACCUGGGGCUCAACCCCAGGCUUGCGGUCGAUACGGGCAGGCUAGAGUUCGGUAGGGGAGACUGGAAUUCCUGGUGUAGCGGUGAAAUGCGCAGAUAUCAGGAAGAACACCGGUGGCGAAGGCGGCUCUCUGGGCCUUACCUGACGCUGAGGAGCGAAAGCGUGGGUAGCGAACAGG